AAUUCUCAACUUCAAAUGUAUUUUUGAAGCUUGGACUUUGGAGGUUUUUGCCGGCAUAACUGUCAGCUCCUCUUAAAUGCAUUAGCGGAACUUUAUUAAGGACCAGCUUUGGUUUGAUAAUCCUAUCUAUGCCGUCGCUGUGGACUUUGCUUGUUCAGCUUCUAAUGGUCUUCGGACUGUCUCAAUUACGAGGCAUACACUUUUAA
This 206-nucleotide unclassified non-coding RNA is filed under the name uncultured Clavariaceae. RNAcentral describes it as "sequence contains ITS2". The record is from RNAcentral. Lineage: Eukaryota; Fungi; Basidiomycota; Agaricomycetes; Agaricales; Clavariaceae.